CCUAACACAUGCAAGUCGAGCGAUUUACUUCGGUAAAGAGCGGGCGGACGGGUGAGUAACGCGUGGGUAACCUGCCCUGUACACACGGAUAACAUACCGAAAGGUAUGCUAAUACGAGAUAAUAUACUUUUAUCUCAUGGUAGAAGUAUCAAAGCUCUGGCGGUACAGGAUGGACCCGCGUCUGAUUAGCUAGUUGGUAAGGUAACGGCUUACCAAGGCGACGAUCAGUAGCCGACCUGAGAGGGUGAUCGGCCACAUUGGAACUGAGACACGGUCCAAACUCCUACGGGAGGCAGCAGUGGGGAAUAUUGCACAAUGGGCGAAAGCCUGAUGCAGCAACGCCGCGUGAGCGAUGAAGGCCUUCGGGUCGUAAAGCUCUGUCCUCAAGGAAGAUAAUGACGGUACUUGAGGAGGAAGCCCCGGCUAACUACGUG
Molecule: ribosomal RNA, 434 nt
Filed under: uncultured bacterium
Lineage: Bacteria
Description: bacterial SSU rRNA
Rfam family: Bacterial small subunit ribosomal RNA
Source: RNAcentral